AGAAGGCAUCUUUUAUGGUUGAAAAAUUCCGAUGGUUAGAGAUGGGCAUGCGUUGUAUUAGCUAGUUGGUGGGGUAACGGCUCACCAAGGCGACGAUACAUAGGGGGACUGAGAGGUUAACCCCCCACACUGGUACUGAGACACGGACCAGACUCCUACGGGAGGCAGCAGUGAGGAAUAUUGGUCAAUGGACGCAAGUCUGAACCAGCCAUGCCGCGUGCAGGAUGACGGCUCUAUGAGUUGUAAACUGCUUUUGUACGAGGGUAAACGCAGAUACGUGUAUCUGUCUGAAAGUAUCGUACGAAUAAGGAUCGGCUAACUCCGUGCCAGCAGCCGCGGUAAUACGGAGGAUUCAAGCGUUAUCCGGACUUAUUGGGUUUAAAGGGUGCGUAGGCGGUUUGAUAAGUUAGAGGUGAAAUUUCGGGGCUCAACCCUGAACGUGCCUCUAAUACUGUUGAGCUAGAGAGUAGUUGCGGUAGGCGGAAUGUAUGGUGUAGCGGUGAAAUGCUUAGAGAUCAUACAGAACACCGAUUGCGAAGGCAGCUUACCAAACUAUAUCUGACGUUGAGGCACGAAAGCGUGGGGAGCAAACAGGAUUAGAUACCCUGGUAGUCCACGCAGUAAACGAUGAUAACUCGUUGUCGGCGAUACACAGUCGGUGACUAAGCGAAAGCGAUAAGUUAUCCACCUGGGGAGUAC
This 699-nucleotide ribosomal RNA is filed under the name uncultured bacterium. RNAcentral describes it as "bacterial SSU rRNA". It matches the Rfam family "Bacterial small subunit ribosomal RNA", at positions 183 to 883 of the family's 1533-position model. The record is from RNAcentral.